Molecule: ribosomal RNA, 681 nt
Filed under: Microbacterium sp.
Lineage: Bacteria; Bacillati; Actinomycetota; Actinomycetes; Micrococcales; Microbacteriaceae
Description: bacterial SSU rRNA
Rfam family: Bacterial small subunit ribosomal RNA
Source: RNAcentral
GGCGUCGACGGGUAGCCGGCCUGAGAGGGUGACCGGCCACACUGGGACUGAGACACGGCCCAGACUCCUACGGGAGGCAGCAGUGGGGAAUAUUGCACAAUGGGCGGAAGCCUGAUGCAGCAACGCCGCGUGAGGGAUGACGGCCUUCGGGUUGUAAACCUCUUUUAGCAGGGAAGAAGCGUGAGUGACGGUUCCUGCAGAAAAAGCACCGGCUAACUACGUGCCAGCAGCCGCGGUAAUACGUAGGGUGCAAGCGUUAUCCGGAAUUAUUGGGCGUAAAGAGCUCGUAGGCGGUUUGUCGCGUCUGCUGUGAAAUCCCGAGGCUCAACCUCGGGCCUGCGGUGGGUACGGGCAGACUAGAGUGCGGUAGGGGAUAUUGGAAUUCCUGGUGUAGCGGUGGAAUGCGCAGAUAUGAGGAGGAACACCGAUGGCGAAGGCUGAUCUCUGGGCCGUAACUGACGCUGAGGAGCGAAAGGGUGGGGAGCAAACAGGCUUAGAUACGCUGGUAGUCCACCCCGUACACGUUGGGAACUAGUUGUGGGGUCCUUUCCACGGAUUCCGUGACGCAUCUGACGCAUUAUGUUCCCCGCCUGGGGAGUACGGCCGCGCUGCUAAUACUCAGAGGAGUUGACGGGGACCCGCACAAGCGGCGGACCAUGCUGAUUACUUCGAUGCACCGCG